This is a long non-coding RNA of Carassius auratus (goldfish), 1708 nucleotides long. RefSeq lists it as uncharacterized. Lineage: Eukaryota; Metazoa; Chordata; Actinopteri; Cypriniformes; Cyprinidae. The record is from RefSeq and is a predicted model, not a curated record. The transcript is spliced from 2 exons.
UGUUUGACCGCAGCGUCACCCUGCUGGAGGUGUGUGGCAGCUGGCCUGAGAGUUUCGGACUGCGUCACAUGUCCUCUGUGGAAGCCACUGAAGAGGGCCUGAAGGAGAGGCUUGCAGACGCAAUGUCAGAGUCGCCCAGCAGAGACAUUGUGGGCUCUGGGACAGCAGAGCUCCAGAGGGAGGGAAGCAUCGAGACGCUCAGCAAUAGUUCUGGCUCUACCAGUGGCAGCAUUCCCCGAAACUUCGAGGGCUACCGGUCCCCUCUCCCCACCAAUGAGAGCCAGCCCCUCAGCCUCUACCCCACCGCCUUCCCCUAAAACCAGCUGUCCUGCCCCAAGGAAACUUCUCUGUCCCCUUUGAACAAUCUUGACAGUACAACCACAACUCCAUCCUCCUCCGCUAUAUCUUCUCUCUGUUCUUUGAAAUGUGAUUUUCCUUUAAUCAAACCUGGCAUGCAGGAAAACCCUGUUCAAUCAGACCCUGCGUUAACAUCCUUCGUCAUUCACUUCCCUUGUAGAUUAAUGUUAAAGAGAGAGAAAGAGAGUGCAUGGAUAUCGGCUGAACUGUAGAACUGUUUUCUCAAAGAUGUGUCAUAUUACCAAUAUCAUUUUCAAUCGAACUUCCAGUGCGCAUCUUCAUUGAAUGCAUGCGUGUGUGUGAGUGUGUGAGAGUGUGUCCUAAUUAGCUCUCGGUAGUUGAGUUUAGCUUUGAGCUUACAAAAUGCUACGCUGAUUUAGUUUGAUCAACACAUCAGUAGACAGUGUUUGAUAUAUUUUAGUAGAAUGUAUUGUAGUUCACAUUUGAAUUGAUUUGGCUUCGGUCAUGGUCGUGUUUACAAUCGAAUCUUGUUACGUUAUAGUGUUUAUUAUUAUGCACAUUUUUCUGUAUAUUUGAUUUCAUUAUUUUCAAGAGUCAGUUUCUUGGAUUCAGUUUUAUUUGCUUUAUAAAUUCAGUGGAUACAAAUGAUUUAAAUUCCUUUCAAUUUAUGCGUAAAUGACAUGUAUGAAUGAUUCUUUCAAAAAGGGAUAUUUGUGUUCUAAUGUUUCCUUGUUUGACUGGCUUUUUUUCCGGGUGAUAUUUAGCAGUGGUGGUCUCAACGAUCCACAUCAAACUUAUUUUGACACUACCCAAAUGUGAAAAAUGUAGUUCCAUCAUUAUCAUUCUCAUCAUCUAUAUAUCAUUCUGUAUUAGAUUGUUUGUUUAACUAUUUUAAAUGGCUUUGUUUAAAGAAUGUCUUUUAGCUUUGCCUGACUGGAUGUAACGUUCCUCACACACACACACACACACAACCCACAGUUAUUGAUAAAUACCAAUUAAACAAGAAAUGUGAAUACUUGGUCCUAGUCAUCAGCUUGUCAAAAGGUUUAAAGAUCUCGCUGUUGGCUGGCAGCUCUGUGCGUGCUGAAAGCCUCAGAAGCUGGAGAGGAAACAUCAAGAGUUUGUUCACCAUCAUUUAUAACGCCAUUCAGUUUGCCAUGACUUAAAAUCUGAAUGCAUUGCACAUGCUUUGUAUGGACUAUAUUUUUUGUAAUAAUACGCAAUGUGAUCUUGAAAUGGGUAUAAUAGUCAUUUAUGUGUUUGCUUAAUACAGCAUAUCCGUUCUGACUUCCUUAGUUUGUUGUUUUCCCUUGUUAACUUACCAUGCUCUCUCUUGAAUAUAUUUGUUAUACAAAAAAUAAAUAAAUGCAUUUAAAUGACGAGGUAAAAA